AAGGAAGAUACAGAAAAUAGUAAGCACUGCUAAUUCUUACGCUCCAUGG
RNAcentral lists this transfer RNA (49 nucleotides) under Acrossocheilus monticola. RNAcentral's name for it is "partial tRNA-Ser". Lineage: Eukaryota; Metazoa; Chordata; Actinopteri; Cypriniformes; Cyprinidae. The record is from RNAcentral.